AGUGGUAGUUCUAGUGGUAGUUAUAGCAUGAGUAUGGUAUUAGUUAUAGUGGUAGUUAUAGUGGUAGUUAUAGCAUUAGUUUGGUAUUAGUUAUAGUGGUAGUUAUAGCAUUAGUAUGGUAUUAGUUCUAGUGGUAGUUAUAGCAUUAGUAUGGUAUUAGUUCUAGUGGUAGUUAUAGCAUUAGUAAGGUAUUAGUUCUAGUGGUAGUUAUAGCAUUAGUAAGGUAUUAGUUAUAGUGGUAGUUAUAGCAUUAGUAUAGUGGUAGUUAUAGUGGUAGUUAUAUCAUUAGUAUAGUGGUAGUUAUAUCAU
This is a long non-coding RNA of Oncorhynchus tshawytscha (Chinook salmon), 309 nucleotides long. Lineage: Eukaryota; Metazoa; Chordata; Actinopteri; Salmoniformes; Salmonidae. The record is from Ensembl.